UGGGGAAUAUUGGACAAUGGGCGCAAGCCUGAUCCAGCCAUGCCGCGUGAGUGAUGAAGGCCUUAGGGUUGUAAAGCUCUUUCAGUGGGGACGAUAAUGACGGUACCCACAGAAGAAGCCCCGGCUAACUUCGUGCCAGCAGCCGCGGUAAUACGAAGGGGGCUAGCGUUGUUCGGAUUUACUGGGCGUAAAGCGCACGUAGGCGGAUCGUUAAGUCGGGGGUGAAAUCCUGGAGCUCAACUCCAGAACUGCCUUCGAUACUGGCGAUCUUGAGUCCGGAAGAGGUGAGUGGAACUCCUAGUGUAGAGGUGGAAUUCGUAGAUAUUAGGAAGAACACCAGUGGCGAAGGCGGCUCACUGGUCCGGUACUGACGCUGAGGUGCGAAAGCGUGGGGAGCAAA
Molecule: ribosomal RNA, 400 nt
Filed under: uncultured bacterium
Lineage: Bacteria
Description: bacterial SSU rRNA
Rfam family: Bacterial small subunit ribosomal RNA
Source: RNAcentral